CGGAUUUCUUAUAUUAGGACAGAAAGACCCUAUGAAGCUUUACUAUUAAUAAAUAUUGAAAAUAUAUAUGUAAAACAUAGAAUAAAUGGGAAAUUAAAAUAUUAUUUUUUCGGAAAUAAUGUAAUUAAAAAUGAAAUACCAUUUUUUAUAUAUAUAGAUUCUUAUAAAAAAUUUUAUAACAAAUGUUUAAACAGUAAUUAUGAGAUAGUUUGACUGGGGCAGUCUCCUCCUAAAUAGUAACGGAGGUGUACAAAGUUAUAUUAAUAAUAUAAAGAUAUAAUAUAAUUAACUGUAAGAUAUACAAAUCAAACAGAGAUUUACGUCGGUCUUAAUGAUCCGAUAAUUUUGUUUAGUGAUAAAAUUAUCGCUUAACGGAUAAAAGUUAC
RNAcentral lists this ribosomal RNA (386 nucleotides) under Haemoproteus columbae. RNAcentral describes it as "partial large subunit ribosomal RNA". It matches the Rfam family "Bacterial large subunit ribosomal RNA", at positions 2062 to 2466 of the family's 2925-position model. The record is from RNAcentral. Lineage: Eukaryota; Apicomplexa; Aconoidasida; Haemosporida; Haemoproteidae.